UGCCGGGUCGUCUAAUGGUAGGACGGAGCUCUUUGAAAGCUCUAAUGAACGUUCGAUUCGUUCCCCGGCAG
This 71-nucleotide transfer RNA is filed under the name bacterium. RNAcentral's name for it is "tRNA-Gln". It matches the Rfam family "tRNA". From Rfam's summary of the family: Transfer RNA (tRNA) molecules are approximately 80 nucleotides in length. Their secondary structure includes four short double-helical elements and three loops (D, anti-codon, and T loops). The record is from RNAcentral.